CCUAAGCUGAGAGCAACGCCGGUGCCGCGGUGCGUGAUGGACAUGGCCAUGGGCAGCGACCACUUGUAAAUGGAGAUGUGAGGGGACAAAGGACGGCUGGAUUUGGUGUUCUUCUCCCAGAAACGAGCCAUCUCCUCCUUGGCUGUGGUGGCCAUAGGGACAACGUGGUGCACGGAGGGGCCGGGGCUGAGCCGGGCCAGGAGGCACCGCCGAGCGACGCAUCUCAACACCAGCGCCGCCA
Molecule: long non-coding RNA, 241 nt
Filed under: Gallus gallus (chicken)
Lineage: Eukaryota; Metazoa; Chordata; Aves; Galliformes; Phasianidae
Source: RNAcentral